This 1605-nucleotide ribosomal RNA is filed under the name Escherichia coli. Its description in RNAcentral is "partial 23S ribosomal RNA". It matches the Rfam family "Bacterial large subunit ribosomal RNA", at positions 1210 to 2798 of the family's 2925-position model. The record is from RNAcentral. Lineage: Bacteria; Pseudomonadati; Pseudomonadota; Gammaproteobacteria; Enterobacterales; Enterobacteriaceae.
GACGCUUAUGCGUUGUUGGGUAGGGGAGCGUUCUGUAAGCCUGUGAAGGUGUGCUGUGAGGCAUGCUGGAGGUAUCAGAAGUGCGAAUGCUGACAUAAGUAACGAUAAAGCGGGUGAAAAGCCCGCUCGCCGGAAGACCAAGGGUUCCUGUCCAACGUUAAUCGGGGCAGGGUGAGUCGACCCCUAAGGCGAGGCCGAAAGGCGUAGUCGAUGGGAAACAGGUUAAUAUUCCUGUACUUGGUGUUACUGCGAAGGGGGGACGGAGAAGGCUAUGUUGGCCGGGCGACGGUUGUCCCGGUUUAAGCGUGUAGGCUGGUUUUCCAGGCAAAUCCGGAAAAUCAAGGCUGAGGCGUGAUGACGAGGCACUACGGUGCUGAAGCAACAAAUGCCCUGCUUCCAGGAAAAGCCUCUAAGCAUCAGGUAACAUCAAAUCGUACCCCAAACCGACACAGGUGGUCAGGUAGAGAAUACCAAGGCGCUUGAGAGAACUCGGGUGAAGGAACUAGGCAAAAUGGUGCCGUAACUUCGGGAGAAGGCACGCUGAUAUGUAGGUGAAGUCCCUCGCGGAUGGAGCUGAAAUCAGUCGAAGAUACCAGCUGGCUGCAACUGUUUAUUAAAAACACAGCACUGUGCAAACACGAAAGUGGACGUAUACGGUGUGACGCCUGCCCGGUGCCGGAAGGUUAAUUGAUGGGGUCAGCGCAAGCGAAGCUCUUGAUCGAAGCCCCGGUAAACGGCGGCCGUAACUAUAACGGUCCUAAGGUAGCGAAAUUCCUUGUCGGGUAAGUUCCGACCUGCACGAAUGGCGUAAUGAUGGCCAGGCUGUCUCCACCCGAGACUCAGUGAAAUUGAACUCGCUGUGAAGAUGCAGUGUACCCGCGGCAAGACGGAAAGACCCCGUGAACCUUUACUAUAGCUUGACACUGAACAUUGAGCCUUGAUGUGUAGGAUAGGUGGGAGGCUUAGAAGUGUGGACGCCAGUCUGCAUGGAGCCGACCUUGAAAUACCACCCUUUAAUGUUUGAUGUUCUAACGUUGACCCGUAAUCCGGGUUGCGGACAGUGUCUGGUGGGUAGUUUGACUGGGGCGGUCUCCUCCUAAAGAGUAACGGAGGAGCACGAAGGUUGGCUAAUCCUGGUCGGACAUCAGGAGGUUAGUGCAAUGGCAUAAGCCAGCUUGACUGCGAGCGUGACGGCGCGAGCAGGUGCGAAAGCAGGUCAUAGUGAUCCGGUGGUUCUGAAUGGAAGGGCCAUCGCUCAACGGAUAAAAGGUACUCCGGGGAUAACAGGCUGAUACCGCCCAAGAGUUCAUAUCGACGGCGGUGUUUGGCACCUCGAUGUCGGCUCAUCACAUCCUGGGGCUGAAGUAGGUCCCAAGGGUAUGGCUGUUCGCCAUUUAAAGUGGUACGCGAGCUGGGUUUAGAACGUCGUGAGACAGUUCGGUCCCUAUCUGCCGUGGGCGCUGGAGAACUGAGGGGGGCUGCUCCUAGUACGAGAGGACCGGAGUGGACGCAUCACUGGUGUUCGGGUUGUCAUGCCAAUGGCACUGCCCGGUAGCUAAAUGCGGAAGAGAUAAGUGCUGAAAGCAUCUAAGCACGAAACUUGCC